This 370-nucleotide ribosomal RNA is filed under the name uncultured bacterium. Its description in RNAcentral is "partial 16S ribosomal RNA". It matches the Rfam family "Bacterial small subunit ribosomal RNA", at positions 338 to 706 of the family's 1533-position model. The record is from RNAcentral.
CCUACGGGAGGCAGCAGUGGGGGAUAUUGCUCAAUGGGCGCAAGCCUGAACCAGCCAAGCCGCGUGAAGGAUGACUGUUCUACGGGUUGUAAACUUCUUUUAUCAAGGAAUAAAGUCAGGCUCGUGAGCCUUAUCGAGUGUACUUGACGAAUAAGGAUCGGCUAACUCCGUGCCAGCAGCCGCGGUAAUACGGAGGAUCCGAGCGUUAUCCGGAUGUAUUGGGUUUAAAGGGUGCGUAGAGGGACUGUUAAGUCAGCGGUAAAAGCUCGGGGUUAAACCCAGACGAGCCGUUGAAAAUGGGAGUAUUGAGAUGUCGAGAGGUAGGUGGAAGGAGCAGUGUAGCGGUGAAAUGCGUAGAGAGUGCGCAGAA